Molecule: transfer RNA, 73 nt
Filed under: Intestinozyma alai
Lineage: Eukaryota; Fungi; Ascomycota; Pichiomycetes; Serinales; Debaryomycetaceae
Description: Candida alai tRNA-Pro
Rfam family: tRNA
About the family: Transfer RNA (tRNA) molecules are approximately 80 nucleotides in length. Their secondary structure includes four short double-helical elements and three loops (D, anti-codon, and T loops).
Source: RNAcentral
CAGAUUGUAUCAUCAAAGGUAAUGAAUUUGUAUUGGGUACAAAAAUUUAUAGGUUCAAAUCCUAUCAAUCUGA